GAACGGCAGCACAGGAGAGCUUGCUCCCUGGGGUGGCGAGUGGCGGACGGGUGAGGAAUACAUCGGAAUCUACUCUGUCGUGGGGGAUAACGUAGGGAAACUUACGCUAAUACCGCAUACGACCUACGGGUGAAAGCAGGGGACCUUCGGGCCUUGCGCGAUUGAAUGAGCCGAUGUCGGAUUAGCUAGUUGGCGGGGUAAAGGCCCACCAAGGCGACGAUCCGUAGCUGGUCUGAGAGGAUGAUCAGCCACACUGGAACUGAGACACGGUCCAGACUCCUACGGGAGGCAGCAGUGGGGAAUAUUGGACAAUGGGCGCAAGCCUGAUCCAGCCAUACCGCGUGGGUGAAGAAGGCCUUCGGGUUGUAAAGCCCUUUUGUUGGGAAAGAAAUCCAGCUGGCUAAUACCCGGUUGGGAUGACGGUACCCAAAGAAUAAGCACCGGCUAACUUCGUGCCAGCAGCCGCGGUAAUACGAAGGGUGCAAGCGUUACUCGGAAUUACUGGGCGUAAAGCGUGCGUAGGUGGUCGUNUAAGUCCGUUGUGAAAGCCCUGGGCUCCACCUGGGAACUGCAGUGGAUACUGGGCGACUAGAGUGUGGUAGAGGGUAGCGGAAUUCCUGGUGUAGCAGUGAAAUGCGUAGAGAUCAGGAGGAACAUCCAUGGCGAAGGCAGCUACCUGGACCAACACUGACACUGAGGC
RNAcentral lists this ribosomal RNA (700 nucleotides) under Stenotrophomonas sp. CE5. Its description in RNAcentral is "bacterial SSU rRNA". It matches the Rfam family "Bacterial small subunit ribosomal RNA", at positions 64 to 752 of the family's 1533-position model. The record is from RNAcentral. Lineage: Bacteria; Pseudomonadati; Pseudomonadota; Gammaproteobacteria; Lysobacterales; Lysobacteraceae.